AACUAGCUAACUGAAAUCAUAUGACUCAUUAAUAUGGUGAUUAUGAUAACAUAAGGGAAAAAAAUGAUGUUACCUUAUUAUUAGUGUUGUCCAAAACUGGUGCCAGAAGACUCGGUAAGACCAGAGACGCAAACGUUAGUCAUCUUAAUCAGGCGUAAAGGGUGUGUAGGCUGCUUUGAAAGUUUAAUUUUUUUAAUAGCUCUUUAACCGUAAUACUAAUUAUUUAUAUUUUUUUAAUGUAAAGAUAGUAUAUAAAAUUUAUUAUGUAAGUAUAAAUGAUAUUAAAAAAUAAAUAUCCGUGUUUCAGAAAAAAAAUAAAUGAAUUAAAGCUAGGAUCAAAUUGAGGAUAAGCCAAAUAAUACUUAGAGUAGGGGUUAAAUCCGCAGAUACUAAGGGGAAUACUAAAGGUGAAGACUUUUUAUCUACUAAUGAUUGACGCUGAGAAACGAASGUGAGAAUAGGAAAUAGGAUUAGAUACCCAGAUACCUCUCACUGUCAACGAUGAAUGGUGGUUAGUCAGUUUUAUUAAAGACUGGUAACGAUGUUAACACSAUAACCAUUCCGCCUUGCGAGUACGGUUGCAAAA
This 586-nucleotide ribosomal RNA is filed under the name Tricholoma sinoacerbum. RNAcentral describes it as "partial small subunit ribosomal RNA". The record is from RNAcentral. Lineage: Eukaryota; Fungi; Basidiomycota; Agaricomycetes; Agaricales; Tricholomataceae.